This 422-nucleotide ribosomal RNA is filed under the name uncultured bacterium. Its description in RNAcentral is "partial 16S ribosomal RNA". It matches the Rfam family "Bacterial small subunit ribosomal RNA", at positions 362 to 776 of the family's 1533-position model. The record is from RNAcentral.
UUUUGGACAAUGGGCGCAAGCCGGAUCCAGCCAUGCCGCGUGCGUGAAGAAGUCCUUCGGGUUGUAAAGCUCUUUCGGACGGACAGAAUUCGCGCAGGCCAAUAGCCUGCGCGAUUGUCGGUCCCGCCAUAAGAAGCACCGGCUAACUACGUACCAUCGACCGCGGUAAUACGUAGCGUGCGAGCGUUAAUCGGAAUUACUGGGCGUAAAGCGUGCGCAGGCGGUUGAUUAAGACAGGCGUGAAAUCCCCGGGCUUAACCUGGGAACUGCGCUUGUGACUGGUCAGCUAGAGUACGGCAGAGGGGGGUGGAAUUCCACGUGUAGCAGUGAAAUGCGUAGAGAUGUGGAGGAACACCGAUGGCGAAGGCAGCCCCCUGGGCCGAUACUGACGCUCAUGCACGAAAGCGUGGGUAGCAAACAGG